AGUCGAGCGAGUCUGCCUUGAAGAUCGGAGUGCUUGCACUCUGUGAAACAAGAUACAGGCUAGCGGCGGACGGGUGAGUAACACGUGGGUAACCUGCCCAAGAGAUCGGGAUAACACCUGGAAACAGAUGCUAAUACCGGAUAACAACAGAUGAUGCCUAUCAACUGUUUAAAAGAUGGUUCUGCUAUCACUCUUGGAUGGACCUGCGGUGCAUUAGCUAGUUGGUAGGGUAACGGCCUACCAAGGCGAUGAUGCAUAGCCGAGUUGAGAGACUGAUCGGCCACAUUGGGACUGAGACACGGCCCAAACUCCUACGGGAGGCAGCAGUAGGGAAUCUUCCACAAUGGACGCAAGUCUGAUGGAGCAACGCCGCGUGAGUGAAGAAGGGUUUCGGCUCGUAAAGCUCUGUUGUUGGUGAAGAAGGACAGGGGUAGUAACUGACCUUUGUUUGACGGUAAUCAAUUAGAAAGUCACGGCUAACUACGUGCCAGCAGCCGCGGUAAUACGUAGGUGGCAAGCGUUGUCCGGAUUUAUUGGGCGUAAAGCGAGUGCAGGCGGCUCGAUAAGUCUGAUGUGAAAACCUUCGGCUCAACCGGAGAAUUGCAUCAGAAACUGUCGAGCUUGAGUNNNNAAGAGGAGAGUGGAACUCCAUGUGUAGCGGUG
RNAcentral lists this ribosomal RNA (663 nucleotides) under uncultured bacterium. RNAcentral describes it as "bacterial SSU rRNA". It matches the Rfam family "Bacterial small subunit ribosomal RNA", at positions 60 to 683 of the family's 1533-position model. The record is from RNAcentral.